This 7123-nucleotide long non-coding RNA is filed under the name Linum usitatissimum (flax). RNAcentral describes it as "long non-coding RNA (LUSI_LNC003081)". The record is from RNAcentral. Lineage: Eukaryota; Viridiplantae; Streptophyta; Magnoliopsida; Malpighiales; Linaceae.
AAAAAUCGAGUUUUAUACUCGCUGGUUUGUUGAAGUGUGUGUUUUAUACUCGUUGAGUGUAAGUGUGUGUUGAUUUUUCUUGUUUUUAGAUCUACGUUAUUUCUACUUCUAUUUUCUCUGAAUUCUAGCAAAAAGCGAAGGAAGGAGAUGAUUUUUUGGUGUAACUCCAAAAACAAAAUUAAUGGAAGGGAGGUAAAGUGUUUCGUUGAUAAAGGGAGGAGUUUGUGGAAGGAAGCAGAUUUUUAGGAGGGAAUGGGAGGAAAUUAAAGGGGAAAUCCAAAAUUAAUUUGAAAAUCGACAAAUUUAAUAUUUUUAAGGGAAAUAUUUUGAUGGAAAUAUUCAUCCGGUGUAAACGUUACAUGAUAAAAUAUCAUUGACUUUUUUUAAUAAAAAAUAAGAUUGAGUUAACACCUAAAUAUAUCAAACAAUACAAAUAGAGCAUCUAAAUUUAUUCGAUUUAAAUCCAUUAAGUUCCCUUCACUAUUGCUCAAUAAAUUCACAUCUGAUCCUCCUCCACUGUUGGAUUUGAAUUCACAUGGUUACAAGUACUGCCUUAUGAUCUUACAAUUUUUUUACUGGUUAUGUCCAAUUUUUCAACGAGUUUUUUAUCUCCAUAGUUCAACUAUAACUUGUUUCUGAUCGUUCAAUGUUGCAGGGUAUGCCAAGGACUAGAAAAGUUGAUUCCAGGGAGACUUAGAAACUCUUCAUUCUUGAGCAUCUUCCAAGUAAGUGUGAGUGUAUAACUUUACAACUGUACGAUUUCGACUUGAAACUGAAUAUAGUACCGGUUCUGAUUCUGUGAUUUUCUCGACAGGAAGAUGCCGCUGCAAAACUGUACCUGUAGAGGGUGUUUGAGAACGUUGCAAGUGGGGGCCUGCCUGCACUGCCAUCUCCAUUGAUCGAGAAUGCGAUUAUGAAUCUGGCCCGCAAGUUUUUUCUUUUUCUCUACUUCCAAAGUAACAGUCUCUGGAUUUCUGCAUAAUGUUGUUAGACUACUCAGCUUGUUUGAACUUCUUUUUGGUUAUUACAAUAGUUAACGAGCCAAGCUCAAUCUGAGCUUGAACAUGCAUAAAACUUGAUUCAACUUGACUAGUAAUAUACAUCCUAGUCUAGAAUAGCAAAGAUUCAAACUUUUUUGUCCUAUCGAUACCUGUCAUGAUUUUCACUCUUAAAACUAUCUCACCAUCUACAAAAUAAGCUAAUUUAUCUUAAAAAGGAUAAACAAAACUAAUGACACUAAUGAAUUAAAUUGACCUUAGAAGCUAACCACAAAAUACCCAUUAAUAAAUAGUAAAGCACCAAUACCGUUUCAUAUUUAUUUUGGGUUUGGCUUUCCUGUUCUUCGAAACCCUACUGACUAGGACGAACUAAGUACAGUCAUAAUCUGACCCGAUUCCCACCCACUAAUAUGGCCACGUCACCAUUCGCAACAUUAAUAACGUUUGAUACAUAUCAUUUAUGUUGUAGACCCGAGUUUGACUCAAUUUUGUUUAGUUCAGGCUUUUUAAGGUUACCCAUAAUCCAGCUAAUCAGGGUGGGUUAAACCCUAUCGAUAUCUGCCAUGAUUCUCACUCUUAAACCUAUCUCACCAUCCACAAUAUAGUCUAAUUUAUCUUAGCACAUAAAAAAAACUAAUGAAACUAAUGAAUUAAAUUGGUUGAAUAAAGUAUAAACUACUAAAUUUAAAAACUAAUUAGGACCCUUAGAAGCUAACCGCAAAGUACACUUAAUGAAUAGUAAAGUACCGCUAUAAUUUUAAUGUUUAGUUCGGGUUGACUUUCAAGUUAUCUAAAAACCCUACGGCCUGGGACAGACUAAGCCCUGUCGGAAUCUGAUAUGAUUCCCACCCACUAACAAAGCCACCUCACCAUCUGCAACAUUAACAACUUUUUAUGCAUAUCAUUUAUAUUGUAGACCCGAGUUUGACCCAAUCUUGUUUAGUUCAGGCUUUUUAAGGUUACCCAUAAUCCAGCUAAUUAGGGUGGGUUAAACCCUAUCGAUAUCUGCCAUGAUUCUCACUCUUAAACCUAUCUCACCAUCCACAAUAUAGUCUAAUUUAUCUUAGCACAUAAAAAAAACUAAUGAAACUAAUGAAUUAAAUUGGUUGAAUAAAGUAUAAACUACUAAAUUUAAAAACUAAUUAGGACCCUUAGAAGCUAACCGCAAAGUACACUUAAUGAAUAGUAAAGUACCGCUAUAAUUUUAAUGUUUAGUUCGGGUUGACUUUCAAGUUAUCUAAAAACCCUACGGCCUGGGACAGACUAAGCCCUGUCGGAAUCUGAUAUGAUUCCCACCCACUAACAAAGCCACCUCACCAUCUGCAACAUUAACAACUUUUUAUGCAUAUCAUUUAUAUUGUAGACCCGAGUUUGACCCAAUCUUGUUUAGUUCAGGCUUUUUAAGGUUACCCAUAAUCCAGCUAAUCAGGUUGGGUUAAACCCUUUCGAUAUCUGCCAUGAUUCUCACUCUUAAACCUAUCUCACCAUCCACAAUAUAGUCUAAUUUAUCUUAGCACAUAAAAAAAACUAAUGAAACUAAUGAAUUAAAUUGGUUGAAUAAAGUAUAAGCUACUAAAUUUAAAAACUAAUUAGGAUCCUUUGAAGCUAAUUGCAAAGUACGCUUAAUGAAUAGUAAAGUACCGCUAUAAUUUUAAUGUUUAGUUCGGGUUUGACUUUCAAGUUAUCUAGAACCCUACGGCCUGGGACAGACUAAGCCCUGUUGGAAUCUGAUAUGAUUCCCACCCACUAACAAAGCCACCUCACCAUCCGCAACAUUAAUAACUUUUAUGCAUAUCAUUUAUAUUGUAGACCCAAGCUUGAUGCAAUCUUGUUUAGUUCAUGCUUUUUAAGGUUACCUCAAAUCCAUUGAAACGGGCUGGGUUAAGCCCUAUGGAUAUAUGCCAUGAUUCACACUCUUAAACUUAUCUUACCAUCCAAAACAUAGGCUAAUUUAUCGUAACAAGUAUAAAAACAACUGUUAUGAUUCACACUUUUAAACCUAUCUUACCAUCCAAAACAUAGGCUAAUUUAUCGUAGCAGGUAUAAAAAACUAAUGAAACUAAUGAACUAAAUUGAUUGAAUGAAGUAUAAACUACUGAAGUUAAAAACUAACUAACAUCCAUAGAGGCAGAUCGGAAGAGCGGUUUAAUGGGGUUGGACCACUGCUGCUUGCGCCAUCGCUUCAGUCUUUGAAGAGGGUCUGACUGUUUCUGAGUAUGCGACAGGCGGCAGCCAGCCAGACAAGGUAGCUACAGCCAUCCAGCUCUCUCUAAUUUGUUGAAAUUUCCCAGUAGCUGGCAUGCUUGAAUCGACAUCUACCCCUCUUACUGUGCAGUGUUGAAACCCAGAAAGUAAUCUUGAGGGUGAUUUCAUUUUUUUUAAGAGUCGGCAUAGCAUAUUUUCAUUAAAUUUCGAACCAAGCACACGUACAUAUAUAUUGGUGAUAAAUAGGGAGGUAACUCACAAAGCUUAAAGGGUUGCAAUGAUUCAGGAUUAUGUACACCACGUCCAAAUUUUUUUUAAUAUCAAUGCUAUUUAGAUCAUUAGACUCUAGACACAGACUACAACAAAUUAUAAAUGACUAGAGGGCAAAACUUUUACGCCAACCUUGCAAAUCCUAACGCUAAUCGAAAUAAAGCAAUGGGACGAAAUAGAAACAAAGUCAAUCAGCACCAAUAUUGCCGGCUAAAUUAAAAUGGCUUCCGUUGCAUGGGUUUAUGAGUCUAUGAAGGAGGUAUAAUAGUGUUUGAGAGACAAAAAAGUAUCAAAUGGUUAUGAAAACAUUUGAGAUUUGAGAGAUAAAGAAGUAUGAAAGGAUUAUGAAAGCGUUUGAAACUUGAGAGAUAUAAAAGUAUCAAAAGGAUGUGAGAAUGUUUGAGAGACAAUAGAAUGUGAGAACGUUUGAGAGACAAAAAAGUAUCAAAAGGAUGUGAGAACGUUUGAGAGACAAAGAAGUAUCAAAGGUGUUCAUGCGUGUGUACGGUAAACGGCUGGCAAUAAAGUGUAGUCAAGUUUGGUGAGUGUUUGGAAAUCAUAUGUGUGACAUAUCAUGGAUGUGGCCGUAAGUCUAUCACGGGUGUGGCUGGCGUAAGAUCAUGGGUAUGGUUGACAACAAACCAUGAUCAUGGUUGGAGGCUGGCCACAUGAGUGAUAGAACAGUCACCACAAUUGUGGUUCAAGAUUAACCACAGGCGUGGUGGUGCGGUGGUCACGGGCAUGGUGAAUUUUCCACCAUGACCGUGAUGUGUAUAUUAUUUAAACAACUCAGCGGCCAGAAUCACAGCAGUCAGAUCCUCACUUUUUUUUCUAGAAAAUCCAUUGAGGAACACAAGUUCCCUUUAGUAUAGUUGCGAUCGCAAGGGAAAUCAAAGUUGGAUUUCCGCUAAUGUUCAUGUAGAGGCUUAGGAGGUGAGGGUGGACGUUUACCCUAACAUGUUGGAAUGUAUCUCUCCAUUCUCUCAUUUUCAGUUUUUCUUGGACUUGGGUUCUGAGGUAGUUUAUUGACCAUUUGAGUAUUUUUUCUGUUAGGGGUUCUGGUUCUUUUUGGAUUUCUCAGGAGAGCUAAAUCAAAGUUUAAGAUUAGUCUCAUGUCAGAUCAGAAUCACUGGGAAAGUACAUUGAGGUGAGAGUUCCUGUUUACUUUUACUGUCACGACCAAAGUAUAACGACAAGAUAGUCCUCGUGGUGUUCUAGUCAGUACCACGAGAUGGUUUUGAUUGUGAAGAGCUUAAAGCUCGUGAUUGAUUUUGCUGUAACGUGUGAUCUAUUGUGUCUUGUUAGGAUGAGAUAGUUCUAGCUUAGACUUGAUGUAUUGAUGUGUUAUAUGCCGGUCAGCCACCCUCGUAUUGCGCAAUCCCCUAGGUGAUGUGUUGUGAUGUUACAGACAUAUAUAUAAUGUCAAGGUCGCUUUUCGCACGGGCUUGUAAAGUUAUGCCAAGGUCGCUACUCACACAGUUUUGGAAGUUCUGCGUUUUGAUCCACUAUAGGACUGUUGGUAGGGGUGGCUAGUACUAGGUAGUUAUGAGAUAAAUGAUUGAUGGACUGAUUAAGUCACAUUAUUAGUUGUGAGCUCGAGCUUUAUUGUUGUACAUUUAUGGGGUUCCUUCUUACUGUAUGCGUGUUACUGUUUUGCGUGAUUGUAUGUAUAGACAUUCAACGCAUAUCACUGACCUCGUUUGUAUAUAUGGAUCUCUUAUACAAUUGUGGAUGUAUAGGAGAAGAUGCCGCCUACCAAAGUGAAUCGUGUGGGGACGAUAUCUCAACCACGUGAGACUCCAGGAGCCCUAAAAAUGGUACGUGGAGGAUAUUCGACUUAGUGUUUUUUUGGUUUUGAUUUCGGUCUUGUGACCCUUUGAAUAAACCUGUGAUGUGGAUUUGAACACGUGGAUUUGUUAUUUUCAACGUGUAUCCGAGAGUGGGAAUUUUAUUAUUGAUCUUGUGAUGACUUUAUAAGGGUUUUUUUAUACUAAACUAUAGCUUUAUGAUCAGUUUGGUGUUUUGUUGGAAUGUAGUAAAUCCAUGUUUUAGCUGUGUUGAGUAGUUUAGUAAAACCUUGGGUUUAGGAUUGCACUAGUUCGGCCAAGUUUGUACGGUGGGGUUUUACAAUUAUUCUAUUAAAGUAUUCUAGAAGUGUUAGGUUACGCUUUGGCUAUAUAAAUCCAAACAUAUACAUUCAGCCAGGCAGAGAGAGAGAUUAAUAAAAGUUGAGUUUUAUAUCUGUUGGUUUGUUUAAUUGCAUGUUGAUUCAUAUUUGGAUGUUUGAGGUGGAGUUGCUAUGAUUCUCCUUUUAAAGAGUGAGGGAAUAAUAUGAUAUUGGGUUAUACUUUAUUAAUAUUUUUGGUUGAUUUGGUUAUGUUCAUUAUUUGCUCACUAUUUAGGAAUAGUUUUCGAGAUUUUCGGUCUAUACAAGAUAGAAUAUAGAAAAUAGACACUAUAUUGAUGUUUAUUUCGUGGGUAUGCUAGAUUUGAAUACGAGAUUUUCGAGUCAUCAAACACAACUUUAUCACCGGAACAACUCUACUUAGUAGGUCCUAUUAGUAUUAAAAUUAGUUUAUUAGCUUUAGAAUUAGUUUAUUAGCAUUAGAAUUAGGUUAUUACCAUUUGUUAAAUAUAUAAUUUCCUUAUCAGUUAGUUUUACAAUUAAGGUUAUUAUUAUUUUAUUAAAGUAUUCUAGUACUGUUAGGUUAGGCUUUGGGUAUAUUAAGUUUUUUGGUGUAACUCCAAAAACAAAAUUAAUGGAAGGGAGGUAAAGUGUUUCGUUGAUAAAGGGAGGAGUUUGUGGAAGGAAGCAGAUUUUUAGGAGGGAAUGGGAGGAAAUUAAAGGGGAAAUCCAAAAUUAAUUUGAAAAUCGACAAAUUUAAUAUUUUUAAGGGAAAUAUUUUGAUGGAAAUAUUCAUCCGGUGUAAACGUUACAUGAUAAAAUAUCAUUGACUUUUUUUAAUAAAAAAUAAGAUUGAGUUAACACCUAAAUAUAUCAAACAAUACAAAUAGAGCAUCUAAAUUUAUUCGAUUUAAAUCCAUUAAGUUCCCUUCACUAUUGCUCAAUAAAUUCACAUCUGAUCCUCCUCCACUGUUGGAUUUGAAUUCACAUGGUUACAAGUACUGCCUUAUGAUCUUACAAUUUUUUUACUGGUUAUGUCCAAUUUUUCAACGAGUUUUUUAUCUCCAUAGUUCAACUAUAACUUGUUUCUGAUCGUUCAAUGUUGCAGGGUAUGCCAAGGACUAGAAAAGUUGAUUCCAGGGAGACUUAGAAACUCUUCAUUCUUGAGCAUCUUCCAAGUAAGUGUGAGUGUAUAACUUUACAACUGUACGAUUUCGACUUGAAACUGAAUAUAGUACCGGUUCUGAUUCUGUGAUUUUCUCGACAGGAAGAUGCCGCUGCAAAACUGUACCUGUAGAGGGUGUUUGAGAACGUUGCAAGUGGGGGCCUGCCUGCACUGCCAUCUCCAUUGAUCGAGAAUGCGAUUAUGAAUCUGGCCCGCAAGUUUUUUCUUUUUCUCUACUUCCAAAGUAACAGUCUCUGGAUUUCUGCAUAAUGUUGUUAGACUACUCAGCUUGUUUGAACUUCUUUUUGGUUAUUACAAUAGUUAACGAGCCAAGCUCAAUCUGAGCUUGAACAUGCAUAA